Molecule: ribosomal RNA, 224 nt
Filed under: uncultured bacterium
Lineage: Bacteria
Description: partial 16S ribosomal RNA
Rfam family: Bacterial small subunit ribosomal RNA
Source: RNAcentral
UAGUCCGGAUCGCAGUCUGCAACUCGACUGCGUGAAGUCGGAAUCGCUAGUAAUCGUGGAUCAGAAUGUCACGGUGAAUACGUUCCCGGGUCUUGUACACACCGCCCGUCACACCAUGGGAGCGGGUUCUGCCAGAAGUAGUUAGCCUAACCGCAAGGAGGGCGAUUACCACGGCAGGGUUCGUGACUGGGGUGAAGUCGUAACAAGGUAGCCGUAUCGGAAGG